This 973-nucleotide ribosomal RNA is filed under the name human gut metagenome. Its description in RNAcentral is "bacterial LSU rRNA". It matches the Rfam family "Bacterial large subunit ribosomal RNA", at positions 1950 to 2925 of the family's 2925-position model. The record is from RNAcentral.
CCUAAGGUAGCGAAAUUCCUUGUCGGGUAAGUUCCGACCCGCACGAAAGGCGUAACGAUUUGGGCACUGUCUCAACAACAGACUCGGUGAAAUUGUAAUACCGGUGAAGAUGCCGGUUACCUGCGACAGGACGGAAAGACCCCAUGGAGCUUUACUGUAGCUUGACAUUGAGUCUCGGUGCUACAUGUACAGGAUAGGUGGGAGACUAUGAAGCAUGGACGUCAGUCUGUGUGGAGUCAUCCUUGGGAUACCACCCUUGUAGUACUGGGAUUCUAACCAGAGGCCAUGAAUCUGGUCUUGGGACACUGUCAGGUGGACAGUUUGACUGGGGCGGUCGCCUCCCAAAAAGUAACGGAGGCGCUCAAAGGUUCUCUCAGUACGGUCGGAAAUCGUACGAAGAGUGUAAAGGCAAAAGAGAGCUUGAUUGCAAGACAUACAGGUCGAGCAAGGACGAAAGUCGGACUUAGUGAUCCGGUGGUUCCGCAUGGAAGGGCCAUCGCUCAACGGAUAAAAGCUACCCUGGGGAUAACAGGCUGAUCUCCCCCAAGAGUCCACAUCGACGGGGAGGUUUGGCACCUCGAUGUCGGCUCAUCACAUCCUGGGGCUGUAGUAGGUCCCAAGGGUUGGGCUGUUCGCCCAUUAAAGUGGUACGCGAGCUGGGUUCAGAACGUCGUGAGACAGUUCGGUCCCUAUCCGUCGCAGGCGUAGGAAAUUUGAGGAGACCUGUCCUUAGUACGAGAGGACCGGGAUGGACGUACCGCUGGUGUACCAGUUGUUCUGCCAAGGGCAUGGCUGGGUAGCUAAGUACGGAAAGGAUAAGCGCUGAAAGCAUCUAAGCGCGAAGCCCACUUCAAGAUAAGAUUUCCCACCGCAAGGUUAAGAUCCCAGGAAGACUACCUGGUUGAUAGGUCAGAGGUGUAAGUGCAGUAAUGUAUUUAGCUUACUGAUACUAAUAGAUCGAGGACUUGACCAA